UAAUACGGAGGGUGCAAGCGUUAUCCGGAAUCAUUGGGUUUAAAGGGUCCGUAGGCGGGCAAUUAAGUCAGAGGUGAAAUCCCACAGCUCAACUGUGGAACUGCCUUUGAUACUGAUUGUCUUGUGUUAUAGUGAAGUAGAUAGAAUGUGUAGUGUAGCGGUGAAAUGCAUAGAUAUUACACGGAAUACCGAUUGCGAAGGCAGUCUACUAACUAUUGACUGACGCUAAUGGACGAAAGCGUGGGGAGCGAACAGGAUUAGAUACCCUGGUAGUCCACGCCGUAAACGAUGGUCACUAGUUGUCGGGGCGCAAGCCUCGGUGACUAAGCGAAAGUGAUAAGUGACCCACCUGGGGAGUACGAUCGCAAGAUUG
This 373-nucleotide ribosomal RNA is filed under the name uncultured Flavobacteriia bacterium. Its description in RNAcentral is "bacterial SSU rRNA". It matches the Rfam family "Bacterial small subunit ribosomal RNA", at positions 521 to 896 of the family's 1533-position model. The record is from RNAcentral. Lineage: Bacteria; Pseudomonadati; Bacteroidota; Flavobacteriia.